Drosophila sulfurigaster albostrigata is the source of this 890-nucleotide long non-coding RNA. RefSeq lists it as uncharacterized. The transcript is spliced from 2 exons. The record is from RefSeq and is a predicted model, not a curated record. NCBI's taxonomy places the organism in Eukaryota, Metazoa, Arthropoda, Insecta, Diptera, Drosophilidae.
UGCAACGUGCGCCGACACAUAAAUUGCAACUCAAAGGAAACUCUGUACGUAAUAAAACAAAGCUGCGUCAUGCUUUCAAUUUUCUGUAAUAUAAAUUUUCGCAAAUUUGACAAGUCACAAGACAAGCGACAUGACAAUAAAAUGGGACACUCAAUAAAUUACAUUUAAAUAACAUUAUUAUUUUCUCAAAUGCACAGGGAAGGAAACUUAAGCUGUCAGAGUCGAUGAGAGAUUUUCAUUGCCGUUGGAUUAAUUAUUUGAUAACAUAUGAAAACUGAGGAGUUGCUGAUCAACUGCAAGUUAUAGCAGUCAAAGUCGAUGUCACUCUGUCUCUCUCACUCACUAUCUGUGUUUGUGUGUCUUUUCUGUUGUGUGCUGUCCAGCACAGACGAGUCGUUGACUGUGCCAAGCGACAACAAUAUCCGGUAGGACUCAAUUUACCACAACAUCUCCACCCCCCAUCAUCAUCUUCUUCUUGCCACACACACUCGUUCACUUGCCUCAUUCACAUAAAAUGGCUUAUCAGUGAAAAGGCUCGAAUUACAAGCAGGCAAACGUGGCAAGCAAACGACAACGACGUCGACGUUGGCAUCCUUUUGGCCAACGUACUAAAGCAACCCUCUUUUCACCGCAAGUUAAUGGACCAAGCUCCACAACAGAGUCAGAGUCAGAGUCGGGGCAAAAAAACAGGCCUGAUUAUCAACGCCAUUGUCACAUCUCCAACGACAACGACGUCGACGACGACGUCAACGAAGAGUCUUGCAACAAAAACACAAUGCCUGGAAAUCCAAUUAUGACAUAAAAAUUUGCGUAAAUUGUGAAAUGUAAAUUUUGUCAACACUUUUUGGCAACUAAAAAAGGGUUUUUUGGUGUGCCCACCCGCAACGCAA